Molecule: long non-coding RNA, 371 nt
Organism: Notothenia coriiceps (black rockcod)
Lineage: Eukaryota; Metazoa; Chordata; Actinopteri; Perciformes; Nototheniidae
Exons: 2
Source: RefSeq, a predicted model, not a curated record
CUUUCCUAACAAAAAUGACAGGAAACAUAAAACAUAUUAUUGCAGAACAAGUGUGUUAUUUAUGAAAGCGGUGUGUUUGUGUGUUUAGGGGCUGUAGAUAUAAUUAUUUUGUAAUUGUAAUCAGAUUAUGAAUGAACAGUAUGAAAUUCAUCAACAUUGAAAUAUAUUUUAUUAUCAAAAUAAUAUAUAACUGUUACAAAACGUAGUGCAACUGUAGAAGCUUGCUCUGUUGUCUCACUGAAAGAAUAACUUUUACCACGUUUUUACAGACAAUAUUGAGAGAUAAAUAGUAGCAGUUCUCACUAUGUGUUAAAUAUCUUUGCCUUCAAUACAUUAAAUUAGAAAGCUGACAAAAUCAUAUUGCUUGUUAA